Pseudopipra pipra is the source of this 7395-nucleotide long non-coding RNA. RefSeq lists it as uncharacterized. The transcript is spliced from 7 exons. Lineage: Eukaryota; Metazoa; Chordata; Aves; Passeriformes; Pipridae. The record is from RefSeq and is a predicted model, not a curated record.
GGCUGCCUUCCUGCGGCCGGGGCGGCGUGUCACAGUUUGUGCCUGCCUUACGGGUUGCUGAGCCGCGCCCGGCCCUUUCCCGUUAGAUCCCGCCGGGUUGCCAGUAAGAUAACGGAAGCAACUAGCAAGAACGCGAUUAAAUUAAAUUAAAGGAAGAAUGUUUUCCACUGCGAGGGUGGUGAGGUACUGGCGCGUCCUGAAGUUCUGGAUACCUCAUCCCUGGCAGUGUUCAAGGACUAGGUUAGAUGGAGCUUUGAGCAAUGUGGUCCAGUGGAAGGUGUCCCCGCCGGUGGCAGGGGGGUUGGAACUGGAUGAUCUCUAAGGCCCCUUCCGACCCAAACCAGUCUGUGAUUCUGAAUAAAUGCCAACAUUAAUUUGUUCUGUGCUCACACACUGCCGGUGUUCAGAGCAGUGGUCCUCUCUGCAUAGCGUUCACAAGAAAUCGAGAAAAGGCAGCUGUUCCCUGGUGGAUAACCCCUUCGGAUUCAGAGUUUCUGUCCUGGACACUGCCAUUACACUGUGCUGGUACCACAGAGAAAUUUGGCUCUCAGAGUUUGUGUUGGUUGCUGAAAGGAGUGGCUGCCAAGCUGACAGGAGAGCAGGACCCUGGUGUGGCAAGAGGAAGCACAGCUUAUUUUGGAUAUCAUUGCAGAAAAUCUGCAAAAAAGUGACACUGCUGAUUCAUUUUGCUUGUCCUGUGUUGGAGGCCUGUUCUUCUGCAUCAAGCCUACCCUACCCACCCAGCCUGGCCACUGCAUGCCCACCUUGCUGUCGUCACAGCUGGUAUGCUGCCUUGUGAAAAAGAAGGACUCACAGUCUUCAUCACUGUCACAGAAAUAGACUGUUAACUUUUUGGUUCCAAGCAGCACGCUGGAAUUGCAGCAAAAUCUGUCAGUCAUGGGAAAUUACAUGAAUGAUUCUGUGGAGGCUAAACCAAGAUUGCUGAACUCAUUUUCAUGCAUGGCUAACUGCAGAAUUGAACCUCAUGCUCCAGAAGUGAAAGGGGGAUGACUCCUCACACAGAGUCUUCUGCUCCAGCAUGGGGUCCCUUCCAUGGGAGACAGCUGUCCAUGAACUUCUCCAAUGUUAGUCCUUCAGUUGCAGUUCUUCAUGGACUGCUCCAGAGUGGAUCCCUUUCCACAGGGUGCAGUCCUUCAGGAACAGGCUGCUCCAGCAUUAGCCCCCCACAGGGUCACAAGUCCUGCCAGCAAACCUGCUCCAGUGAGGGCUCCUCUCUCCUUGGGGUCAGAGAUCCUGCCAGGAGCUUGCUCCAGCACGGGGCUCUCAUGGAGUCACAGCACCCUUCAGUCAUCCACCUCCUUUAGUGUGGGGUCCUCCACAGGCUGCAGAUGGAUCUCUGCUCCCACAUGGACCUCCAUGGGCUGCAGAGGCACAGCUGCCUCCCCAUGGGCUGCAGUGGAAUCUCAGCUCUGGCACCUGGAGCACCUUCUCACCCUCCUUCUUCACUGACCUUGGUGUCUGCAGAGUUGUUUCGCUCACAUAUUUUCACUCUUCUCUGUGGCUGCAGUUGUGCAGGGGUUUUUGUUUCCCCUUCUUAGAUGCAUGACCCCCACUGCUGAUGGGCUCAGCCUUGGCCAGCAGUGGCUCCAUCCUGGGUCUGGCUGGGCACUGGCACCAUUGGACACAGGGGAUGCUUCUGGCAACUUCUCACAGAAGCCACCCUGUAGCCCCCCCCUCACUUUUACCAAAACCUUUCCAUGCAAAUCCAACACAGAAGAAAUCAAGGAGAUUGUCCUUCCCUAGACCUUUUUGGGUAUUCAAGGAACUUGGCAGAGAAUGUCUCUGAAAUAUCUGGAAGGGGUAAUGGUACAAAAGGCAGAUGAAUGCAGAUGAGCCUCCAGGAUCUGAAGGAUUUACCCAUGAAUUCUAAGAGAACUCAGAAAUGAAAUAGCAGCAUGUAACCUGUUUCUUCACUAUUCCUCAGCACAUGAAGAUCAGAAGGUGUCAAAUGUGAUGUCAGUCAUUAAGAAAAUUCCAAGGAUAUCCAGCAACUUAAAAUUGAGAUCUGUUUAAGGUGAAUGGCUAGAUAUUGUAAGAAUUAUUAUCAUCUACCUCAGUAAAUACUAUCUAAUCAGCGAAAGUUAAUAAAGCUCUCAGAGUUCUUCAAAGGGGUCAGUGAUUUAUAAAUGAGGAUCAUCUAAUAUAGUCAACUUGGAUUUUCAGAUGAUUUCUAACAGAACUUUUAAUCAAAAUGUUUUAGGAAAACCAAGCAACACAAGAGUGUCUUAUGCUGGCAUAAGAAGGAAGGCACUGAAGUGGAUGAGAAUGUGAUUUAGAAGAUGGGAACAUAAGGACAAGACAUACCAGAAAUGAAAUUAUUCAGGGAUGACAAGGAUGAUCAGAGGUAUACUGCGACUUCCACUACAGCAUGCAAGGUACUCCAUCCAUUGAAUAUCCAAGAAUCUUAUUUGGAAAAAAACAUGACAUAGUGGGGAGGUAAGAAGAGGUCUGGAGAAAAGUGGAGUGGGAUUGACUUUUCCCUGUCUCUUGUAAUACAGGCAUAAAGGGUAUAGGAAGAAGUUAGUAAGACCUUCAUUCAGAAUAAACCAGAGGAACCAGUUCUUCAGACACUUCUAUAAGGACCUGUGGUCAUCCUCCUCAAAUGACUUUCUGGAUCAAGGAUUUUAUAAAGCAGCAAAAAUAGACUGGAAAAAACCUUGAAAGAGAUGCUGUGGAGUCCACUAACUAGAUAAAUCACAUAACAUGACCCAAAAAUGUUUGAAGGCUGGGAGGCAGUAUGUGCUUACUCUGUUCUGGUUUUUCCUAGGGGUUCACUCCCAUGGUUAAUGUGGGAGAUGGACCUGUGGUCUGAACCGACACGUAAGUUCAAAUGUCACCUUGUCCUUGCACACUAAAGUCAGAAUUAAAUAAAUGAAGAUAUUAACAGCUUACAUAUAUUUAUAGCUUUCAAGUUCCCUAAAUAAGCGUAAUGUUAUGAAAAUUUAGGAUCAGAAGAAACUUUAAGAAGUCACCUAAUCCACCGCUUUGUUCCGUGGCAAAAUCAAUUACAGUCCUUAGUGACAAAUUUGUGCAACCUGUUCCUAAAGCUUUCAGUGAUGGAGAAUCAAGGGCCUCCAUAAGUAAUCUAUUUAAAGGCUCACUAUGAGAAGGAUUUUUUUCCCUGUAUAAUGGGAAUCUAAUCAGCUGUUGUUUGCUGUAAACCAUUAGUUAGCUGCAAGGUAAGAUGAGGGGCGUCCUACAUUUCUGAUGAAUGUUGUCCAGUAACUUUAGUGACUCUGGAAAUAGCCUGAACAUAGGCUUGGUUUUUAAUGUAGCUAGUAAUUACUGGAGUUUGUAUUUUGGUUAAUAUGACCAAGCAUGACCAGGGAUCUAUUCUGUAUCCUUUCAGAGUUUUAAGGUCAUUCUAAUGUUUUAUCUCUUCAGCAUUUUCUGGCUUCAGGUAAACUUUCCUUGAGCAGUGCUUUCUUAAACCCAGCAUGUUUUGACUUUGCUGCAACAAAGGCUGUUUGAAAGGUGUGUCUACAGAAAAAGUGGGACAAAAAGAUUUCUUUUAAAACAUUACUGAAAACCAGCAUGUAGUAUUUUCUUUCUUUCCUGUAAGGUCUAAUUUCUGGUUUUGCCUGUAAUUCACUGAAUUGUAUGUGUUCAAGAUUAAAUGUUUGAGCUGUCUUAAGUGAUGCUGCUCUGUUCAUGCAAACUGCUUCUUGAAGAUGAUUGUUAAUUGAGUUCCCUGUUUUCCAGGUAUCUGAUUUGAGAAGAGGGUUAUGCCUAGCAGAAAUGCUAAGUACCUACAGAUUCCACUGAAUUUGAUGUGGGUAGCUCUUAAGUCUUUCAAAAAAAUCAGCUCAAAUGAGGCAUUUUAGCAAAACUUUUUAAGCUUAAUUCCUUUGUUCCGAGUUUCCACUCUCUAAUGUAAGAGCACUGUCUUCGCACUUGCAAUUAAUUGUGAAAAUCAAUCUGUUGGUACAUGUGAAACACUCUGGAGCAGUGGUGGUGGUGAUUUUGAGGAAAUGAAUGUCUGUGAACGGGGUUUGAUUUAGUAAAUAGAUAUGAGGUGAUACGUGGAGCUAAAAGGAAAAAAAUGUAUUAGCUGCUCACUGGUGAGCACUGACAGUUCAGUGCACAGAAUGAUGCAAACAUCCUGUGGAAAAAUAGUGUGUAAGGGUGUAUUUGAAGACUUCAUCAUACUGUGGAUUGCACAAGGAAGCCAACUAAAGAUUGCACAAGCACUUUGAUUUUGGUGGUUUUAAGCUCAUUGCGAGACUACAACGUCCAUGAUUUAAAUAAUAGGCUUAAAUAAAGGUUUGUAAAUGCAAGUGAUAUAGAUGUGUAUUUGUAGAUUGUAAACUCUAGCAGUUUCAAUGAAACAACGCUGUUGUCAGUCAGCACAUUGGCACAGGGAGGAAAAUACCAUAUUUCUCUUGAAGACUGAAUUUAUACUGUCUUACAAAAAAUUACCACUGUGGGAAAAUUACCCUUUAUUUCUGUUUCCCUGAAAUUUAAGAACUUUAAAAAAAAAUGUUCCCAUUUGAAUAUUGAACUUGAAUGGUUAUGCCAAGAAUCGCAGAAGAAGCAUCAGUUUCCCAUAUGAAGGAACAUGAUCAUGUUCACUCUGAAAUUCUUAUAAAUGGCUGGCAUGGAAACAGGAAUUGCCUUGGAGGGAAAAAAAAAUUAAAAAAUCCCUUGACUACUUCCCCAUCACCAAAGUUGGGCAUUUAAUUUUAUUGAUGGGGAAUUUCUUGUUAGCCCUGUGAAUUCAGGCCACAUUGAAAUGGGGCAGUCAUUGGUGAGAAGCACUGGGCUACUCCGUAUAAGAAUGGCUAAAGGAAUUUAAGUUCCUUCAUGAGUAUUUCUAAUGAAAGCUGCAAGGAACCACCAGAAUCAUCACUCUGGGAUUUUUCCAAGUGCCUUUCUUCUCGUUCUAUCCUCUCCACUCCCCUGCCUCCUCCAUUACAACCCAGUUUUCUCUUGAGAUCAGUGCGACAGAUCAAAGGCUGAGAUGGGGCCUUUGCCUGAGUGAUGAUUUUCCUUUCCCCCUUCAAGCUCUCUGCUAGAUCUCUCCGUGCAUAUCUCCUACAGCUGCUAGCUUCAGAACUAGAUUUUCAACUUAACAGGAAGAUAUACUGUGGCAUAUCAGGAUUAAUUAUAUGAAUUCUUCCUAAACUAGAAUGUAUUUCAAUAACACUAAUCUGACAGGACAGUGCGUCGGUAACAGUGCUCAUUUAUGGCAUUCACUUUUUUUUUUAAUGUUCUUGUUGUGACCUAUGUGUAAUUAGAACAGGAGAGAACAAGUACACAUUUUGCAUUCCUUCCCCUUAUUUUUCCAGCCCUCGUUCAGCAGAGUACUCAGGUGUGUGUGUGUAUAUCUCAAUCCACGUGCCUGUCCUGCUAUAAUAUCUGCUGAAUUGGAGCUUUCGGUGGUGUUCACAACUGGGAAAAUUUUGUAAAAAUUCUGAUUUGGAUUCCCCAUGUUCUACAAAUUGAAAUGUACAAGCUGGAAAGUGUGUUUAGAGUGUGUUUUGGGUUUGUUUGUGUUUACACAUAGCAAUCACUCCUCUUCCUGCAAUGCCUUAAAUCUCCACCUUUUGCAAUUUGAACUUGCUUUCUGAUUUUCUUUGUUGCUUCCCGUUCUUUCCUUUAUUGUUCUGAUGUUCCUCUGCAGCCUUUAUGAUUUUUUUCUUAACUAUUUAGAGCAACAUCUUUUGCUCCAGAGUCGGUUCAUCCCUUGAAGAAUUCCUACAGCUCUGGAUGUUCUGACAGCCGUAGCUUGUGGCCACUGCAGCUGUCAUGAGAAUUUUUGCCAUGCUGCAGUUGGAUUUCACAGAUACAUUCAUUCCUGGAGCUUGUGGGGUUUUUUGUUUUCAAUCAACCCUCAACUAUGUGGCUUUGCUUUAACUGCUCUCCAAAUGACAUUAUUAUUCUUUUUUUGACUGUGGAUGUAUUUAAGUGCUUGUGGUAGUAACUGAAGCACAUCUGAUUUGCUCGUUCCAAGAGAACCUUCAGCAGAAAUCUUCUGAAACUGUUUCCAAUAUGUAAGAAAGCUGCUUCUUGCAGACCCAAAAGGUGUGUUAGCUGGGUUUCAAAGUUAUUCAGUGAACACAUUGCCUCUAGGUUCGCCUUCCAGCAGGUGCCUGUGUCACCACGUCAUCCAUAGAUUUAGACAUAAAACAUUUAAUUAGAGUAGGAGCUUUCAGAAAGGUUUCCACCCAGGUGGCCACUCUGAAGGUUAAUCUGUUGCCCAGGAUGGUCUGACACUUGCUGCUACAACGAUUGCAGUUUCCAACCUGAUUGGCAGUGCCAGGACCUAAAGUGUGGUUUCUAAUAGAGUGGGAUUCCUAUUUAUCCUCACGGGGAUAUUUUUCAUGUUGCCCAUCUACUGGAUAACCCCCUGGCUCAGCUGACCAAAGGGAAGUGCUAUGUUGCUCUGCAAAGACUUAUUUUCUGUAUUAUUUAGGGAGCUCCUCCCACUAAUAUGACUAGCUAGAUUAUCCGUGAGGCUCUACUUGUUCUGAAACCACUAUUGAUUAAAUGCUGAGAUGAAAUUUUUUUUUAGAAACUGUCAUUGGAACAUGCUUAGGCUGCACUUGCUGUCAGCUUAACAGUCAUGUUUCUGUGUCUUCCUCUAAAUUCCUCUCCCAGCUGGGCUCUUUCAUAUCUUAGCAUUAAAAUAGUUUCUUCCUAAUUAGACAGAUCUCUGUCAUGAUAAUCAUCUUGAGAACGUAUGCUGUAUUUUCAUACCGCGUAUCUUUUCACAGAUCAGGCCUGUGCUUUAUAAUUUUUUUCAAAAUCAUAACUCAGUGAAUAGAUCCUUUGCCAAGCAAUCAUCUCCAGUAACUAGUAAUUAGUGUCCUGUCAGCUGAUAUCGGUAGGCAUUAGUGUUCAACUGCUGGCAUCAGCAAGUUCAUCUUACAUCAUUUAGAAUUCUGAUAUAUUUGAUACUUUUCAAAUUCCAGUUGUGAAGAUAAUUUUUUAAAGCUGAUGUGCAGACAGGGGGGAAAAAAGGUAUACAGCAAAUAUACACAUUUGUGCAUGCAAAGUAAAUUACCACGGAAGAGGUGAGUGUUUUUAAGUUCAUGGUCAUAAAUGUAAGUGCACACCUCGAUCACAAGUGAGACUGUGCUUCUGACCACAGAACAGAGUUGUUUGGUGAAGGUUGUGAAGAACAUCUGCUUUAAUGACAAUAAUCAGUAGUUAGAAUGAAACUGAGAUCUCUCUAUUUCUCACACUGCCCAGGCUAUAAUCUGAGGGAUUUUUUCCUGUUUUUAUUUAUUCAGACUCAGAGGCUUAGCAGAAGUGUUGUCCUUCACAAAAAUUAAAUUAAAUAGUUCACUAAAUAGCUCAUUUUACUUUCAGCUUUCAGAAGCUGGUAAUUGUUUAUGUAAGUGUCCUUAAAAUAAAUGAUGCAAAAAUGAA